GUGUUUUCAAGUGUAAUAUUUCUGUAAAGGGACAGAAAAGUUGACUUUUCUGUAGAAUGACCCAUUCAUUGUAAAAUGAAGCAGUAACUUCAACCUACUACUAACUAAUUAAAGAUGUCAUCAGAUCAUGUGUGCUUUCAGCAGUUAUCAUUUUAAACAUCAAAAUCAUGAUGCCCCCCAACAGCAGGCUACUGAAUAUAAGAUGUGGUAUAAUAUAAGAAUGGGACAUUUUAUCCAAGUCAUCUCAAUGGUAAAAAGUGUCCCAAUCACCCUGAACUGGAGCUCUAAAAUAAUGUUAUUGACUUCAACUGAUGAAUGCAGCCAAAGAAAAGAUGAAGAAUGGAAAAGCACUUUGCUGGCAAAGAAAUUGGAAAAUAACACAGGUUACGCGCAUGUAUCCAUGGCAACGCUCGGCUGCGUCGACAGUUAACGGUCCUGCUGGUGAUUUUCUCAGAUGAGGCCUUGAGUUUUCUCUUUCGUCGGUCGAAAAGGUUAGAAGCCAUCGAAAAAACUGCCAUCAGACUACCACAGCUGACAACGAGAGACGCGCGUGCACAACUGCAUAACACACACACGGAAAGAGCACAACAAUUAUGAAACUGCUCAUUUAUUAUAAAUAAAUAAAUGUAUUUUUCUCCUUACAACUUGUUUGUGUUCUUUUGUUAACCUAGAAGUAAAAUAAAAAAACAAUAAGAGGACUUAAUCGAAAGUCCCCUAAACGUCCCGAAUGGCCGCUGAACGUCCUGUGAACGUCCCCGUGAACGUCCGGAGGACGUCUUUGCGGACGUCCCCGGGACAGCCAGAGGACCCUACACAUGGACGUUCGGGGGACGUUCGCAGAGGCCAUUCAGGGGACGUUCUGGGGACCUUUUUUUGUUAGCUGGGUAAAGCUCU
Long non-coding RNA from Megalobrama amblycephala (Wuchang bream), 894 nucleotides. RefSeq lists it as uncharacterized. The record is from RefSeq and is a predicted model, not a curated record. Lineage: Eukaryota; Metazoa; Chordata; Actinopteri; Cypriniformes; Xenocyprididae. The transcript has 3 exons.